CGGAGUACCCCUGAAGGAGUUUUCGGACACUGAUGGGACUACUUAGUGGCGGACGGGUGAGUAACGCGUGAGUAACCUGCCUUGGAGUGGGGAAUAACAGCUGGAAACAGCUGCUAAUACCGCAUAAUAUGUCUGUGUCGCAUGGCACUGGACAUCAAAGAUUUAUCGCUCUGAGAUGGACUCGCGUCUGAUUAGCUAGUUGGCGGGGUAACGGCCCACCAAGGCGACGAUCAGUAGCCGGACUGAGAGGUUGGCCGGCCACAUUGGGACUGAGACACGGCCCAGACUCCUACGGGAGGCAGCAGUGGGGAAUAUUGGGCAAUGGGCGCAAGCCUGACCCAGCAACGCCGCGUGAAGGAAGAAGGCUUUCGGGUUGUAAACUUCUUUUCUCAGGGACGAAGCAAGUGACGGUACCUGAGGAAUAAGCCACGGCUAACUACGUGCCAGCAGCCGCGGUAAUACGUAGGUGGCAAGCGUUAUCCGGAUUUACUGGGUGUAAAGGGCGUGUAGGCGGGACUGCAAGUCAGAUGUGAAAACCACGGGCUCAACCUGUGGCCUGCAUUUGAAACUGUAGUUCUUGAGUACUGGAGAGGCAGACGGAAUUCCUAGUGUAGCGGUGAAAUGCGUAGAUAUUAGGAGGAACACCAGUGGCGAAGGCGGUCUGCUGGACAGCAACUGACGCUGAGGCGCGAAAGCGUGGGGAGCAAACAGGAUUAGAUACCCUGGUAGUCCACGCUGUAAACGAUGGAUACUAGGUGUGGGGGGACUGACCCCCUCCGUGCCGCAGUUAACACAAUAAGUAUCCCACCUGGGGAGUACGAUCGCAAGGUUGAAACUCAAAGGAAUUGACGGGGGCCCGCACAAGCGGUGGAGUAUGUGGUUUAAUUCGAAGCAACGCGAAGAACCUUACCAGGGCUUGAC
This 921-nucleotide ribosomal RNA is filed under the name uncultured bacterium. RNAcentral's name for it is "bacterial SSU rRNA". It matches the Rfam family "Bacterial small subunit ribosomal RNA", at positions 67 to 985 of the family's 1533-position model. The record is from RNAcentral.